RNAcentral lists this ribosomal RNA (431 nucleotides) under uncultured bacterium. RNAcentral describes it as "partial 16S ribosomal RNA". It matches the Rfam family "Bacterial small subunit ribosomal RNA", at positions 29 to 507 of the family's 1533-position model. The record is from RNAcentral.
AACGAACGCUGGCGGCAGGCUUAACACAUGCAAGUCGAACGCCCCGCAAGGGGAGUGGCAGACGGGUGAGUAACGCGUGGGAUCAUACCCUUUUCUACGGAAUAGCUCUGGGAAACUGGAAUUAAUACCGUAUACGCCCUACGGGGGAAAGAUUUAUCGGGGAAGGAUUGGCCCGCGUUGGAUUAGCUAGUUGGUGGGGUAAAGGCCUACCAAGGCGACGAUCCAUAGCUGGUCUGAGAGGAUGAUCAGCCACAUUGGGACUGAGACACGGCCCAAACUCCUACGGGAGGCAGCAGUGGGGAAUAUUGGACAAUGGGCGCAAGCCUGAUCCAGCCAUGCCGCGUGAGUGAUGAAGGCCUUAGGGUUGUAAAGCUCUUUCACCGAUGAAGAUAAUGACGGUAGUCGGAGAAGAAGCCCCGGCUAACUUCGUG